This 329-nucleotide ribosomal RNA is filed under the name Diabrotica speciosa. RNAcentral's name for it is "partial 12S ribosomal RNA". The record is from RNAcentral. Lineage: Eukaryota; Metazoa; Arthropoda; Insecta; Coleoptera; Chrysomelidae.
ACUUAAUCAUUAUUAGUCAUGAUCUUUAAAAUAAAAAAUUUUGGCGGUAUUUUAGUCUUUUUAGAGGAACCUGUUUUUUAAAUGAUAAUCCACGAUUUAAUUAACUUUUAUUAUUAGUUUGUAUAUCGUCGUAAUUAAAUAUUUUUAUAGAAUUAUAAUAUUUAAAAUUUUUUUAAAAAAAUUAAUCAGAUCAAGGUGCAGUUUAUAUAAAAGUUUAAAUGGGUUACAUUAAAUUUAUUUUUGGAUUUUAAAUAUUAUUAUUUUAAUGAAAUUGGAUUUAAUUGUAAUAUUAAUUAAUUAAUUAAUAUGAUUUUGGCUCUAAAAUAUGU